AAGCCAGCCAAUCUAUCUGCAUCUAAAAUGUUUUUGCAGAAAUUUAGAGAAGGCUGGCAAUAUUGAUGCCAUGUUACGAGCCUUGAGGACAGCUAAAGUCUUUAAGGUCCCUGAAAAUGGCUACAGAA
Apodemus sylvaticus (European woodmouse) is the source of this 128-nucleotide small nucleolar RNA. RefSeq annotates it as small nucleolar RNA SNORA33. The record is from RefSeq and is a predicted model, not a curated record. The transcript has a single exon. NCBI's taxonomy places the organism in Eukaryota, Metazoa, Chordata, Mammalia, Rodentia, Muridae.